AAGAAAAGCUCGCGGCUGAUUAGCUAGUUGGUAAGGUAAUGGCUUACCAAGGCGACGAUCAGUAUCUGGUUUGAGAGGACGAUCAGACACACUGGAACUGAGACACGGUCCAGACUCCUACGGGAGGCAGCAGUGGGGAAUUUUCCGCAAUGGGCGAAAGCCUGACGGAGCAAUACCGCGUGAGGGAAGACAGCCUACUGGGUUGUAAACCUCUUUUUUCAGGGAGGAAAAAAAUGACGUGUACCUGAAGAAUAAGCAUCGGCUAACUCCGUGCCAGCAGCCGCGGUAAGACGGAGGAUGCAAGUGUUAUCCGGAAUUACUGGGCGUAAAGCGUCUGUAGGUUGUUUAAUAAAGUCAACUGUUAAAUCUUGAGGCUUAACUUCAAAACAGCAGUCGAAACGUAUAGUA
This 408-nucleotide ribosomal RNA is filed under the name uncultured bacterium. RNAcentral's name for it is "bacterial SSU rRNA". It matches the Rfam family "Bacterial small subunit ribosomal RNA", at positions 222 to 640 of the family's 1533-position model. The record is from RNAcentral.